ACGGUGAAUAAUUGAUGUGGUUUAUCAAAGACGAGCAAGAUGCAUGCUUCAUCAGGCUCACUUGAGCCCUUUGAUCAAAAAAAUUAUGCUGUGACUUCUGAUAUUAUCAGCAUCUGCUUGCAUUCAACACAAAAUCACUUUGAAUUAAAAAUUAACGACUUACUGCUUUGCUUUGACUGUGUGUUCUUGGCCUUCUCCACAGGGAACUCUAGAAUAUCAAGGGAGCAAGAGGAAGCCAAGAAAACUUGGCCAAAUCAAAGUGCUUGAUGGAGAAGACGAAUAUUACAAAGCUUUGUCACCUGUGGACUCGGUCCCUGAAGAAGACAACUCAGCCCACCCUUUUUUUCUGUCCUCAUCCUCAAAAUGAGAAUCUUAUGCUCAGUGCUGAACUGUACUUCCUGCCCCCAGAUCUGCCCAGGAUAAGAACAAUCAUGAUAAUUGACUGAGAAAGUAUUGAAAUGGGAUUAGCUGUAUCAUCACCAUCAGCUUCUUCAGACACACAUUCUGUGCCCAAGCCUUACUGAACAAUUUGCAGUUUCCUAAACAUUUUAUCACACCUGUCCUCUCCUCCCCACAUCUGCUGUGCAGCCUGAGCUGGGCAGUCCCUCUUUUUCUCAUCCCAUGGGUCCCCGUGAGACACUGAGCACACCUCUGCUAUAAUAAGAACCUCACUCAUGCUCCCAACAUCGACGAGGGCAAUGGGCAAUCUCACCAUAGGCCAGUCAUGAACCUUGAUAAUAAUUAUUUUCCUACCAAGUCACCUUUCAAUCCAUGCAGGAGCUACCCUAGUAGGUAUUCAGGAGACCCUUUUCCUCUUCUCUCCUCUCUGGCCCCACCUUGCUUGUCUUUUCUACCUCUCCCACCUUCCCCCAAGGUCAGGACUCCACUUCCCAUCCUGUAAGAGUGCCCCCACAGUCUCCACAGAAUCUUUCAGAUUCUUUCUACAAGGCAAGAAAAUCAUCUCUUGCUAAUUAUUAUGCUGAUAAAGCCUUUGCCUCCUUAUCUACCUUGCCAAGACAUUCCCAUUGCCUUAAUAGUAAAAAGGAAUGAGUGGGGGGGAAAAUUGGACCUAUCAAAGAGUCCAUAUUAAGUUGUUUUAUAACUGUGGUUGAUGGAAUCAUGUCCCCACAAAGACAUGAUCACAUCCUAAACACUGGCACAUGUGGGUAUGGAGUCAUUUGUAAACAGGAUUUUUAAAGAUUCUGUUUAUAUGAGACAAAAUUGAAUCAGGGUGGGCCUUAAUCCAAUAUGACUUAAUCCAAUAAGGAAUCCGAUAUUCCUUAUAAGAAGAGGAAAUCCACACAGAGACACAGACAACUGGACAUGGAAGCAGAAGCAUAAGAGAAGACAGAAGGAGACAGAUUACCUUGUGAUGAAGGAUUGCUGGCAAGCAACCAUCAGGAUGCUACAGACUUUCAGGAAAGCAUGGUCUACCAAUUCCAUGAUAUUGGACUCCUUACCUCCAAAACCAUGAGAUAAUAAAUUCAUGUUGUUUAAGCCAACCAGCCUGUGGUAUUUGUCAUAGCAGCCCUGGCACACAGUAACUUUCCAUUCACUGUCUGCUGUCUCUACUAGGCUAUGAGAGUUGGAGGAGAAUGGUCUUUAUCUUGUCUGUCUCUAUGUACAGGGAGCCUAGCACAGUACCUGACACAUAGUGGAUAACCAGCAAAUAUGGAAUGAAUAGAGAGACUUCAUUUGUUUAGACAAAAAUACAUAUGACAAGCAAGUUACUUUCAAUUAUAUCCUAUAUAUGAUUAACCUUUUUUCUUUUAAGGCCUGACUUUCUACUCAAGGUUGGACUAGUCUUAUUGUAAUAAUAUUAUACCAUAUAUUAUAAUACUCCAUAUGAUGCAAUACAACAAACAUUUUUGGAGUAACUACUUUAUGCAAAACAAUAUAUGAGAUUACUGUGUAAUAUAAAAUAAAUAAAUAAAAUUAAGUUUUUAAAAAAACUUACAAGAUCCUUUCUCUAGAACAGAUGUCCUCAACAUUUUUUCUUACUUUAAAAUACUUGGCAGAUAAUAUGCAUGGGAGUACCCAUUUUGAGAAAAAUAAACUUGAGGAAAUAUUUUUAAAAGAUUGUUAUCAGAGUUUUGAAGGGGGAAGGUAUUUAAGCUUUUUACAAGCAUAAAUAAUAAAAAGAGGCAUUAAAAGAUCUUAGAAAUUGUAAUUCUACAGGAAAAAGCAAUUAUUCAAUAAACUUUACUUUAUAAAAAUUAGUCUUGAUAUUUUUCCAGCUCUCUGCCCCAAAGGUAAUAUUUACAAGGUACACAAGUAGAGCAAUUGAAGUACAAAUGAAUUUUAUUUUAUUGCUAAAAUAAUGCUGAG
Molecule: long non-coding RNA, 2328 nt
Organism: Dasypus novemcinctus (nine-banded armadillo)
Lineage: Eukaryota; Metazoa; Chordata; Mammalia; Cingulata; Dasypodidae
Source: Ensembl